CAGAGUGUAAAAACUCCCAAAACCCAUGUGAACAUACCUUUUUGUUGCUUCGGCGGGAUCGCCCCCGGGCGCCUUGUGUGCCCCGGAGUCAGGCGCCCGCCGGGGACCCAAACUCUUGUUUUUUUAACGAGUAUCUUCUGAAGUAACGUUUUUUAAAUAAAUAAA
Molecule: unclassified non-coding RNA, 165 nt
Filed under: soil metagenome
Description: partial internal transcribed spacer 1
Source: RNAcentral